This 468-nucleotide ribosomal RNA is filed under the name uncultured bacterium. RNAcentral's name for it is "bacterial SSU rRNA". It matches the Rfam family "Bacterial small subunit ribosomal RNA", at positions 329 to 794 of the family's 1533-position model. The record is from RNAcentral.
UUCCAGACUCCUACGGGAGGCAGCAGUGAGGAAUAUUGGUCAAUGGCCGGAAGGCUGAACCAGCCAAGUCGCGUGAGGGAAUAAGGCCCUAUGGGUCGUAAACCUCUUUUGUCAGGGAGCAAAGGCGUCCACGUGUGGACGAGAGGAGAGUACCUGAAGAAAAAGCAUCGGCUAACUCCGUGCCAGCAGCCGCGGUAAUACGGAGGAUGCGAGCGUUAUCCGGAUUUAUUGGGUUUAAAGGGUGCGUAGGCGGAGUGUCAAGUCAGCGGUAAAAUUUCGGGGCUCAACCCCGUCGUGCCGUUGAAACUGCCGGGCUAGAGUGGGCGAGAAGUGCGCGGAAUGCGUGGUGUAGCGGUGAAAUGCAUAGAUAUCACGCAGAACUCCGAUUGCGAAGGCAGCGCACCGGCGCCCUACUGACGCUCAGGCACGAAAGCGUGGGUAUCGAACAGGAUUAGAUACCCCAGUAGU